UGCUUAACACAUGCAAGUCGAACGGAAAGGCCCUUCGGGGCACUCGAGUGGCGAACGGGUGAGUAACACGUGGGUGAUCUGCCCUGCACUUUGGGAUAAGCCUGGGAAACUGGGUCUAAUACCGAAUAGGACCGCGCUCUUCAUGGGGUGUGGUGGAAAGCUUUUGCGGUGUGGGAUGGGCCCGCGGCCUAUCAGCUUGUUGGUGGGGUAAUGGCCUACCAAGGCGACGACGGGUAGCCGGCCUGAGAGGGUGACCGGCCACACUGGGACUGAGAUACGGCCCAGACUCCUACGGGAGGCAGCAGUGGGGAAUAUUGCACAAUGGGCGCAAGCCUGAUGCAGCGACGCCGCGUGAGGGAUGACGGCCUUCGGGUUGUAAACCUCUUUCAAUAGGGACGAAGCGCAAGUGACGGUACCUAUAGAAGAAGGACCGGCCAACUACGUGCCAGCAGCCGCGGUAAUACGUAGGGUCCGAGCGUUGUCCGGAAUUACUGGGCGUAAAGAGCUCGUAG
This 512-nucleotide ribosomal RNA is filed under the name Mycolicibacterium boenickei. RNAcentral describes it as "bacterial SSU rRNA". It matches the Rfam family "Bacterial small subunit ribosomal RNA", at positions 45 to 574 of the family's 1533-position model. The record is from RNAcentral. Lineage: Bacteria; Bacillati; Actinomycetota; Actinomycetes; Mycobacteriales; Mycobacteriaceae.